UACGUAGGGGGCGAGCGUUGCUCGGAAUUACUGGGCGUAAAGGGUCCGUAGGCGGUGGGGUAAGUCGACGGUAAAAUCUCCCGGCUUAACUGGGAGGGGCCCGCCGAAACUGCCUGACUUGAGGGCCGGAGGGGCGAGUGGAAUUACCGGUGUAGCGGUGAAAUGCGUAGAUCUCGGUAGGAACACCGGAGGCGAAAGCGGCUCGCUGGACGGCACCUGACGCUGAGGGACGAAAGCUGGGGGAG
This 245-nucleotide ribosomal RNA is filed under the name uncultured bacterium. Its description in RNAcentral is "partial 16S ribosomal RNA". It matches the Rfam family "Bacterial small subunit ribosomal RNA", at positions 524 to 768 of the family's 1533-position model. The record is from RNAcentral.